GUGCCAGCAGCCGCGGUAAGACGGGGGAGGCAAGCGUUGUCCGGAAUUAUUGGGCGUAAAGAGCGCGUAGGUGGUUUAUCAAGUCAUUUGUGAAAACUUUAGGCUUAACUUAAAGAUUGCAAGUGAUACUGGUAUACUUGAGCAUAGUAGAGGAAAACGGAAUUCCUGGUGUAGCGGUGAAAUGCGCAGAUAUCAGGAAGAACACCAGUGGCGAAGGCGGUUUUCUGGGCUAUUGCUGACACUGAGGCGCGAAAGCUAGGGGAGCGAACAGGAUUAGAUACCCUGGUAGUCUUAGCUGUAAACGAUGGACACUAGGUGUGGGAAGUUAUCGACGCUUUCCGUGCCGAAGCUAACGCAUUAAGUGUCCCGCCUGGGGAGUACGGUCGCAAGACUAAA
Molecule: ribosomal RNA, 396 nt
Filed under: uncultured bacterium
Lineage: Bacteria
Description: bacterial SSU rRNA
Rfam family: Bacterial small subunit ribosomal RNA
Source: RNAcentral